Molecule: transfer RNA, 91 nt
Filed under: Gammaproteobacteria bacterium
Lineage: Bacteria; Pseudomonadati; Pseudomonadota; Gammaproteobacteria
Description: tRNA-Ile
Source: RNAcentral
AGGGCGCUGGAUCUCUUUGGAUGCGCUCGGACGCUGGUCAAAGUGACUCAUAAUCCUUUGGUCGUUGGUUCAAGUCCAACACGCCCUACCA